RNAcentral lists this ribosomal RNA (123 nucleotides) under Paenibacillus whitsoniae. RNAcentral's name for it is "partial 16S ribosomal RNA". It matches the Rfam family "Bacterial small subunit ribosomal RNA", at positions 1 to 132 of the family's 1533-position model. The record is from RNAcentral. Lineage: Bacteria; Bacillati; Bacillota; Bacilli; Caryophanales; Paenibacillaceae.
CUUUUAUGGAGAGUUUGAUCCUGGCUCAGGACGAACGCUGGCGGCGUGCCUAAUACAUGCAAGUCGAGCGGUUCCUUCGGGGAUAGCGGCGGACGGGUGAGUAACACGUAGGUAACCUGCCUU